UACGUAGGGGGCAAGCGUUGUCCGGAAUCAUUGGGCGUAAAGCGCGUGUAGGCGGUCCGAUCAGUCGGCUGUGAAAGUCCAGGGCUCAACCCUGGGAUGCCGGUCGAUACUGUCGGGCUAGAGUCCGGAAGAGGCGAGUGGAAUUCCCGGUGUAGCGGUGAAAUGCGUAGAGAUCGGCAGGAACACCCAGGGGGAAACCAGUGGACUGGCACGGAGCUGACGCUCAGGUGCGAAAGCGUGGGGAGCGAACCGG
Molecule: ribosomal RNA, 253 nt
Filed under: uncultured bacterium
Lineage: Bacteria
Description: partial 16S ribosomal RNA
Rfam family: Bacterial small subunit ribosomal RNA
Source: RNAcentral